GAUGAAGAACGCAGCGAAAUGCGAUACGUAAUGUGAAUUGCAGAAUUCAGUGAAUCAUCGAAUCUUUGAACGCAUAUUGCGCUCUUUGGUAUUCCGAAGAGCAUGCUUGUUUGAGUAUCAGUAAACACCUCAAAGCUUUUGGAUUUUUUAAUCGAAAAGCUUUGGACUUGAGCAAUCCCAACACCAAUCUUUUUGAGAUCGGUGGCGGGUUGCUUGAAAUGCAGGUGCAGCUGGACAUUCUCCUGAGCUAAAAGCCUAUUCAUUUAGUCCCGUCAAACGGAUUAUUACUUUUGCUGCAGCUAACAUAAAGGGAGUUUGACCGUAUUGGCUGACUGAUGCAGGAUUUCACAAGGGUCGGCAACGAUUCUUGUUAAACUCGAUCUCAAAUCAAGUAAGACUACCCGCUGAACUUAAGCAUAUCAAUAAGCGGAGGA
This 434-nucleotide unclassified non-coding RNA is filed under the name soil metagenome. Its description in RNAcentral is "partial contains 5.8S ribosomal RNA, internal transcribed spacer 2, and large subunit ribosomal RNA". The stretch from base 1 to 120 matches the Rfam family "5.8S ribosomal RNA", at positions 35 to 154 of the family's 154-position model. The record is from RNAcentral.